UUUAAAUUGAGAGUUUGAUCCUGGCUCAGGACGAACGCUGGCGGCGUGCCUAACACAUGCAAGUCGAGCGAGGGGAGUUCUUCGGAACAAACCUAGCGGCGGACGGGUGAGUAACACGUGGGCAACCUGCCUCAAAGAGGGGAAUAGCCUCCCGAAAGGGAGAUUAAUACCGCAUAAAGUUAUUUUUUCGCAUGAAGAGAUAACCAAAGGAGCAAUCCGCUUUGAGAUGGGCCCGCGGCGCAUUAGCUAGUUGGUGAGGUAACGGCUCACCAAGGCGACGAUGCGUAGCCGACCUGAGAG
Molecule: ribosomal RNA, 300 nt
Filed under: Clostridium homopropionicum
Lineage: Bacteria; Bacillati; Bacillota; Clostridia; Eubacteriales; Clostridiaceae
Description: 16S rRNA. Bacterial SSU
Rfam family: Bacterial small subunit ribosomal RNA
Source: RNAcentral